This 303-nucleotide ribosomal RNA is filed under the name uncultured soil bacterium. RNAcentral describes it as "bacterial SSU rRNA". It matches the Rfam family "Bacterial small subunit ribosomal RNA", at positions 26 to 355 of the family's 1533-position model. The record is from RNAcentral.
AGAACGAACGCUGGCGGCAUGCCUAACACAUGCAAGUCGAACGAGACCUUCGGGUCUAGUGGCGCACGGGUGCGUAACGCGUGGGAAUCUGCCCUUGGGUUCGGAAUAACAGCGAGAAAUUGCUGCUAAUACCGGAUGAUGACGUAAGUCCAAAGAUUUAUCGCCCAAGGAUGACGCCCGCGUAGGAUUAGCUUGUUGGUGAGGUAAGAGCUCACCAAGGCGACGAUCCCUAGCUGGUCUGAGAGGAUGAUCAGCCACACUGGGACUGAGACACGGCCCAGACUCCUACGGGAGGCAGCAGGU